CACCUUUUCGACUACUGAUGGCGUGAUGGUAGAUUACAUCCUAACCGCCGAAGGCACCCGGGCAACUUACGUUGUAGUACCGCUGCAAGGUACCAACUAUGGGGGCAUUGUUGCCGUUGUCAAACCACCAGGACCGUAUCCUUGCAGCAUUGAGAGCCGGGUUGACGCCGCACGAAGAACUUUUGAAUACAAACGUGAGGGAGUUAAUGUGCUGUUGUCCCCCGUUGGUGAUGAACAGAUCCUGCGGUUUGUGCAAUCGGGGCCCGGCUGGUGUGAUAUCUAGGGGUGGACGGAUGGAUAGAUGGGGCGUCCCAAAAUAAGCGGGAUGUCAAAAUGCGCCCGUCAAAAUGACUGCCCAACUCCUACUGCUGUCCUACAACCAACGGGGCUAGGGUAAGUGAACUGGAAAUCCUAAGUUGCUCCCCUUUGUUUUCCACACUAUACCCCGCACCUUACAUCUCCCAAACCUUGCUUACUACCCAGGUUCAUACAUCGAUGGGAGAAGCAGCAGCGGAUACAUAGGCAGUAUGAAGGGGGCGGAAGCACACACGCUGGCAAACAAUCUAUUCAAAUUUUGUACAGGCGAUGGGAUCAGGAUGCGUAUGCCGUGCUGCUGUAUAUCUGUUCCGCGGUAAUGCGUAGACUCGUCGAGUCGAUACGAGCCGAUAGCUAGCAACAAACUGUGCUUGAGCACAAUAUAACAACGAAGCCACGUUCGCUAUUUGUUGCUGAAAUGAAAGCAUGAGCAUUGCACGUCGCUUGCCCUGUGUCGCGAAAGAUAGGCGUGAAUGAUGAGGUCUGCGGGUGUCGUAUCUUGGGGGUGUGUAUCACGGGAUCUGACCUCCACCAAUCGGUACGUUUCUGUUCGUCGUGAUACGACAGUGCGCUUACGUUAGGUCGGCUGAAAGCAAUGCAAGCUUAUAAGAGCUCCAACGAUGCCGUGACAACGGGCGGG
This 955-nucleotide long non-coding RNA is filed under the name Volvox carteri. RNAcentral describes it as "long non-coding RNA (VCAR_LNC002029)". The record is from RNAcentral. Lineage: Eukaryota; Viridiplantae; Chlorophyta; Chlorophyceae; Chlamydomonadales; Volvocaceae.